GUCAACUCCCCACCACUUAAACGGUAAAGCGUUAUGAAGUGGGGGCUUGAAAAAGCCCUAGUUGUCUAGCCUUAGCUUUAAGCUACGUUGGGCAUGUCAAUACGGCUUGGUGUAAUUCCCUAGCACCUUUUGUCGUUCAGGCGCUGUAACAGUUCUGUUGGGUCGGAACGGUCAACCUGAGGCACGAAGCAUGUCCAACAUUGGCGAAGGGAAACAAAC
This is a non-coding RNA of Paenibacillus wynnii, 219 nucleotides long. It matches the Rfam family "HNH endonuclease-associated RNA and ORF (HEARO) RNA". The record is from Rfam. Lineage: Bacteria; Bacillati; Bacillota; Bacilli; Caryophanales; Paenibacillaceae.